GAAUCACUGGGCGUAAAGGGCGCGUAGGCGGAUUAUCAAGUCUCUUGUGAAAUCUAAUGGCUUAACCAUUAAACUGCUUGGGAAACUGAUAGUCUAGAGUGAGGGAGAGGCAGAUGGAAUUGGUGGUGUAGGGGUAAAAUCCGUAGAUAUCACCAAGAAUACCCAUUGCGAAGGCGAUCUGCUGGAACUCAACUGACGCUAAGGCGCGAAAGCGUGGGGAGCAAACAGGAUUAGAUACCCUGGUAGUCCACGCCCUAAACGAUGUACACUAGUUGUUGGGGUGCUAGUCAUCUCAGUAAUGCAGCUAACGCAUUAAGUGUACCGCCUGGGGAGUACGGUCGCAAGAUUAAAACUCAAAGGAAUAGACGGGGACCCGCACAAGCGGUGGAGCAUGUGGUUUAAUUCGAAGAUACGCGAAGAACCUUACCUGGGCUUGAUAUCCUAAGAACCUUUUAGAGAUAAGAGGGUGCUAGCUUGCUAGAACUUAGAGACAGGUGCUGCACGGCUGUCGUCAGCUCGUGUCGUGAGAUGUUGGGUUAAGUCCCGCAACGAGCGCAACCCACGUAUUUAGUUGCUAACGGUUCGGCCGAGCACUCUAAAUAGACUGCCUUCGUAAGGAGGAGGAAGGUGUGGACGACGUCAAGUCAUCAUGGCCCUUAUGCCCAGGGCGACACACGUGCUACAAUGGCAUAUACAAUGAGACGCAAUACCGCGAGGUGGAGCAAAUCUAUAAAAUAUGUCCCAGUUCGGAUUGUUCUCUGCAACUCGAGAGCAUGAAGCCGGAAUCGCUAGUAAUCGUAGAUCAGCCAUGCUACGGUGAAUACGUUCCCGGGUCUUGUACUCACCGCCCGUCACACCAUGGGAGUUGAUUUCACUCGAAGCCG
This 884-nucleotide ribosomal RNA is filed under the name Campylobacter jejuni. RNAcentral describes it as "bacterial SSU rRNA". It matches the Rfam family "Bacterial small subunit ribosomal RNA", at positions 548 to 1429 of the family's 1533-position model. Lineage: Bacteria; Pseudomonadati; Campylobacterota; Epsilonproteobacteria; Campylobacterales; Campylobacteraceae. The record is from RNAcentral.